Molecule: long non-coding RNA, 533 nt
Organism: Macrobrachium nipponense
Lineage: Eukaryota; Metazoa; Arthropoda; Malacostraca; Decapoda; Palaemonidae
Exons: 3
Source: RefSeq, a predicted model, not a curated record
UGUUGACGUCUUACUCGAGUCGUCGCUUUUUUUAACUUCGAAAUAGUUGAGCAUUUCGCCGGGAGUGGAAAGAAAUCAUGCUGCUUCUUCACUGGAUUUUGCCUUCAGCUUGUCUGGCGUUAACUUCUACAUGUCAGAACCAGGACGACUGCCCUGCCGGGGAGUACUGCGAGAACCGAUAUGCAUACACCUGCCAGUGCUUGGACAGUUAUGUCAGAGUUGGCGAAGCCUGUCUCCCUAAAGGCUACAAAGGAGAAGCUUGCGUCGACGACAGACAGUGUUCACAUGCUGGCUUCAUCUGCCACCAGUCGGUAUGCGGCUGCCCCGACGGACGAGAGAAACCGGACGGAACGUGUUCCAAAUCUGCCAAGUCAGAGUCAGUCUUUGACCCGGCGCUUCUUGGAAGCCGACAAACCGCCGGGGAAUCAUUCCAGCACCCAAAAUCAGCAGCUCCGGGAAAGUCCAGGCUGUCGGCGGUGGAUACACGGGCGCCAUCGCCAUCUGCGCUUUGGUCUUCAUCUGUUUCUCCGUUC